CUCGUCUCGUGGUGUCGCCACCCGUUGUCUGGCAACCGGGCAGCCCCAUACCCGCCCCUCCUUCGCGGGACAACUUGCAGGGACUCGCCAUCAAGGCCGGCAUCGUCAAAGUGCACGAUGAUUUCUCUCGCUACGACGACCUACGUUACCGGCAUCUGGACACUUGGAGCAAACUACACUAUGCCAUAUCCAAAGUGGCGGCAGCGCGGCUGAAUUUCACGCACAAUAUCGUGUUCGCCGACCAGUGGGGCACGCGCGUCACCA
Long non-coding RNA from Schistocerca serialis cubense, 264 nucleotides. RefSeq lists it as uncharacterized. The transcript is spliced from 3 exons. The record is from RefSeq and is a predicted model, not a curated record. Lineage: Eukaryota; Metazoa; Arthropoda; Insecta; Orthoptera; Acrididae.